Non-coding RNA from Cyanistes caeruleus (blue tit), 1175 nucleotides. Lineage: Eukaryota; Metazoa; Chordata; Aves; Passeriformes; Paridae. The record is from RefSeq and is a predicted model, not a curated record.
UGACUCCUCUCCCUGCUCUGUGACUCCUCUCCCUGCUUCCCCUGCUCCUGCUUCCCUUCACAUCUCCCUAAACCCUCUGUCCCUCCACAUUUCCCCUCCUCUCCUGGCCUCUCUCAUCUCCUGGCACUGCUUUUGCAGCUCUGGAUCCCCACGAGGGAAGGCAAUGAUUCCACAUUUCAGACCCACUUAUCUGGGAGAUAAAGGAGGUUCUGGGCACGUUCUUUUCCCUCCGAGGCCAAGGGGGUCACUGCUCUCUAACCCAGGACACGUUGCAGAUGGGCUCUGUUUCCUCCAGACCCCUCUCCAGCAGCUUUGCUGUGCUGUUUGACCCAAGGCUCAGGCUCCCAGCAGCAAUCCCAGGCUGUGGUUUUCAGGUCCAUGGGACAGCCUUGUGAUGAUCUCAGUGACCCCACAGAGCUGCUGUGACAACAAACACGGCCCCACUUGGCUGCUGCAGCCCUGCUGAGCUGAGCUUUGUGAGAUUGUGAGUUUGAGUUUGAGCUGUGUUUGUUACAGCCUCCCUCCAGCACAGCAAAACAAGGCAAGGAAUUGAGAAUUACAGGUGGGAGAGCUCGGUGGGGCUGCUCAGCUCUCCCAGAUUGGAGCAGUGGGACAUUAAAGCCACGCUCACCUGGCCAGGACCGGCUGCCAGAACCUCCCAGGGCUCCUGGGGUGUCCCCUGGAUGUUCCCAAAGCAGAGCUGCUGCUCCUGCAGCCUCUGACACUCAUUUGAGCAUGAACAUGUUGCUCAUCUAAUGUUUCUACAAACAGUUCGGGACCUGCCAGGCUUUUCUCUCCAUCACAGCCAGGGAAACUUCUAUUUUUCUUCUUCUUUUCAUGCUCAGAAGGAUCAUUAAUUUUAACCUUCUGUAAACAACAAACCCUUCUCCUCUCCCAGCCAAGUUUCCCGGCGCCAUCUAGUGUCACCCCCACCCUUCCCUGUCCCUGGGAAUUGUCACCUCCCCGGGAUUUAACUGCAAGGAGAUGGAAAACCGAAGCCACCACACCCACAGGGGUUGCUUUGGGACCGAGUCCUGACACCCAACCCUACAUCCUCCUGUCUGGAGGGUUCCAGAAGGAUGUUUUAUCCCGAAAUAUCUUUGUAGAGCUGUGCUCUUCCAAAGUUGUUUUUCAGCUGAGCUGUUUGGGAGGGAUUCCUCUCCCACCAAAAAAAA